AUCUUCCGCAAUGGGCGAAAGCCUGACGGAGCAACGCCGCGCGAGUGAUGAAGGGUUUCGGCUCGUAAAACUCUGUUAUUGGGGAAGAACAAAUGCGUAAGUAACUGUGCAAAUCUUGACGGUACCUAAUCAGAAAGCCACGGCUAACUACGUGCCAGCAGCCGCGGGAAUACGUAGGUGUCAAGCGUUAGCCGGAAUUAUUGGGCGUAAAGCGCGCGUAGGCGGUUUCUUAAGUCUGAUGUGAAAGCCCACGGCUCAACCGUGGAGGGUCAUUGGAAACUGGGAAACUUGAGUGCAGAAGAGGAAAGUGGAAUUCCAUGUGUAGAGGUGAAAUGCGCAGAGAUAUGGAGGAACACCAGUGGCGAAGGCGACUUUCUGGUCUGUAACUGACGCUGAUGUGCGAAAGCGUGGGGAUCAAACA
This 421-nucleotide ribosomal RNA is filed under the name uncultured bacterium. RNAcentral's name for it is "bacterial SSU rRNA". It matches the Rfam family "Bacterial small subunit ribosomal RNA", at positions 361 to 774 of the family's 1533-position model. The record is from RNAcentral.